RNAcentral lists this long non-coding RNA (2963 nucleotides) under Homo sapiens (human). Its description in RNAcentral is "non-protein coding ATP6V0E2-AS1:15". Lineage: Eukaryota; Metazoa; Chordata; Mammalia; Primates; Hominidae. The record is from RNAcentral.
ACUCGCUGAUUGGCUGAGCAGGGCCGCGGACAGAGAGAAAUGCCGAGGAAUAGGGGCGCGGCCGCCCGGUUUCGGCGAUGGGUUAUAGGGUCCGCGUCAGCCCCGCGCCCGCACAGCCAACGUCACGCCGCAUUCUUAUUUCCAAAGACCCCUGGAGCUUGGGGUCCCACCCCAGCGGUCUUUCGGGGCGUCCCCUGCCCUUCACGCGCCGCGCCGGCUCGGCCCGAAGCGCCCUGCGGACCCGCAGCCUGGGCCGCCCCGAACCUGACGGCCCCGCGGGGGUCGGACGCGGGAGGAACGGCCUCGCUUUCAGAGACGCAGCGGGAGGGCGGUCCCCGCUGUCCCUCUGGCCGGGUCCUCAGCACGCGUUCUCCUCACUCCCAGGACUAGCGAGCGGCGGGCGCGGACCGGGGCCUGGGGUCGGAGGCGGCGCAGCCAGAAAGGCCCCAGCGGCGCUGAGACGUUUGGGGGAAGGCGGGGGCUUCGCGUUUCGAUGGCGGGAAGCGGAAUGAGGUUGGACCGGCCGGGCCGGCGUUCAGGGACCCGGCGGGAGGCGGAGGGCUGGCGUCCUCGCGGACAUCCAUCUGCAGCGAACCAGGCAGAGGCUUUGGGAUUAGAUCCUUGACUCCUUGCGUCAGUAGUUAAGCUUUGUGAUGGUCUGAGGUCCAUGAAGGGAUUAAAACCAGGAACUGGCUCCUUCUCCAACCACUAAAGCCUCAUCUGGGCCCACAAGCCCUGGCUGUUCCCUGGAGCGUGACUGGAAGAUGUGAGCAGCUUUGUGCUGGAGCCCCAUUUCCAUGGGCAGAAGGAACAUAAAGUAUGCAUUUUAUGAUACGACUCAGCUUGGAGGGAUGAAGUAGAAGGUCCUCACUGCACCUCAUGGCAGGCUGCUGACGGCAGAUAUUUUACCGGGCUCACUGAACUGGGCAGUCAGGGAAGGGUCGGCUCCUGCUCUGUCCAGCUGUCUUCAUAAGGGACUCUGUGACACUUUUUAUAAAAAUGACUUUGAUUUCUGCAUAAGAAGGCUUCCCAAGCUUGCUGUCUAGCAGUGGCUGCUACAGGGAAUUAUUCACAUGGCAGCAAGAGAGCCCUGGCUCCCUGGACCAGGACAUUCCCUUUGUGUGUGUUGGAAUGAGAGCAGGAGGAGUGCUGGUCAGAAGCCCCUCCCCAGGGCUCUGGGACUUCAGUGUUCUCAGACAAACUGGGCCGCUCCUCUGAGCUGGGAUGCUGACCCACACUUGGCCCCGGCUCUGGCAUCCACAGGACGCUGCCUUAUCCGUCAUCUCGCUGGGGCUGGGGGCUAGAGGCUGAGCAGGUCACACUGAACAAAAGAAGUGUGUCCCCAUCACUAGGCUAACAUCUGAGUUUCUUCCACAGUAUUUGGUAACACAGUCAGAAACAAGACUGAAGAUGAUUCUGGAGGCAACUGGGAACCCCCCAGAACGAUUCUGCAGGCUUCUGGGAAGCUGAAAAACCCCAAGGCCAGACUGGCCUCAGAAUGCCUGAGUCCUUUUGAUUCCACUGGAAAAGCCAUCCAUCUGUGCCAAGUGUGUGGAGAGCUUCAAGAGCCAUAUAGCCCUGGCCACCAUGAGCACAGCCACGUGGGGGAGUAGUCCUGAAAGUGUCCUGGUGUGGCAAAGGCUUUCCACUAAGUGGACCUCAGAUGGCACAGGAAGACCCUCCUGGGGAUGUGGGAGGACACUGCCUAGUGGGUGAGGGGCCGCUCUUUCAGGUGUGCACACUAAAUGCAGAGACAGCCUCUCCUGGCUGCCAAGAAGCCUGUGCAUGAUCCAGGACCACAAAACACUUGCAAACUCACUGCCCAGAGGCCCUGUGCCUGUCUGGAGUGUGCCCAGUGUGUCUGCGCCCCACAGCUUGUCCUGGCCCGCCAGCAGAGCCGCAGCACUGCAGGGCCCUUCUGUUGUGAGUGCCAGGGCCCUUGCUGGCUGCCUGAGCAAGGCAAAAGGUUCAAAACAGGAAGUCUCUGGGCAGCUAUUCCCAGGUGCAGAGGGGAGCAGCGGCCACACAGGUGCCAGUGUGGCAGGAGCUGCAGUCAGAGGCAGCAUCUCAAGAGCCCUGGGAGCAGGGGCCAGCCACGUGAAGCCCACGAGUGUCGCUGGCACAGGGAAGGGACACGAGGAUCACACUGACCCAAGAGAAGGCCCACAGUGAGGAGGCCCCACCGAAGCAUCCCCAGCAACAGGGACUGAGGCAUCUGAGGCAGCCAGCCCACUCGGAAAGGCCUGCUGACUGCACUCCAGAUGUCAAGAGCACCCUUGGGAAAAAGAAAGGCAGGAGUGCAGCACUUUCUAGAGCCUCAGCUCACUUCUCUCCUUCUAGCUCCAGCCGGAGUGAUGGAAGAGGCUGCGCUGGGAGCUGCCUCCCUGGGAGCCUACCCUGCCCAGCCUGAGAGUGGAGGCUACCAGCAUCACGCUUCCCCUAGUGAAAUCCAUCUGUCCUGAAGGGAACCCUGGGACGGGGUCAAGGAAACCCUGUUCACCCCCACCACGGGGUCAGGUCUUCACCAAAGGGAGGCCGCACGGAUUCCCAGUCGCAAACCCAAAGCCUUGCUGCCUUUGCCUCUGUUUCCAUAGUUGUUUCAAUGUCUUUUUUAAAAAUCACAUACACUCGAGUAAGACUGAGUCUCCUCACCGAAGAGAUCUGGCUGUAUCCCGAGUCUCUGAAACCUUUGCUCCAGUCCCGUGGGAGCGUGCCGUCCCGAGGAUGUGGAGCCGCAAGGGCUCGCCAGAGGGAUCUCAGGAGCUAGGCCUCAAGGAGCGCUGUUGAGUGACAGGUCUGAUGCAGUAGCUUUUACUAUUGGUGGAAAUCGAUGUUUUUUCCUUGAAAGUCUACCUUUCUAAGUUCAGUAAACCAAAUUAGAUCAUGUAUGUGAAAGCACUUUGUAAACUAUGCAGUACUCCAGAAAAGGCAGCCAAGCCCUUAAUUAUAACUCACCAAACAGC